GUUCAAAGUGAUCAUUUUGAUGAGUUUUUUGCCCCUAAAUUGGACAAACAUGGUUAUCAAGCUCUCUACAAGAAGAAGACAACAGAGGUUUACACCGGGACUUAUGCUAUCGAUGGUUGUGCAACAUUUUUUCGAAGGGACAGAUUUUCCCAUGUGAAGAAAUACGAGGUCGAAUUCAACAAGGCUGCUCAGUCACUGACAGAUGCUGUGGUCCCAAUCACUCAGAAGAAAGCUG
Molecule: long non-coding RNA, 235 nt
Organism: Papaver somniferum (opium poppy)
Lineage: Eukaryota; Viridiplantae; Streptophyta; Magnoliopsida; Ranunculales; Papaveraceae
Exons: 3
Source: RefSeq, a predicted model, not a curated record